AUUGAACGCUGGCGGCAUGCCUUACACAUGCAAGUCGAACGGCAGCACGGGAGCAAUCCUGGUGGCGAGUGGCGAACGGGUGAGUAAUAUAUCGGAACGUGCCCAGUCGUGGGGGAUAACGCAGCGAAAGCUGUGCUAAUACCGCAUACGAUCUAUGGAUGAAAGCGGGGGAUCGCAAGACCUCGCGCGAUUGGAGCGGCCGAUAUCAGAUUAGGUAGUUGGUGGGGUAAAGGCUCACCAAGCCGACGAUCUGUAGCUGGUCUGAGAGGACGACCAGCCCCACGGGAACUGAGACACGGUCCAGACUCCUACGGGAGGCAGCAGUGGGGAAUUUUGGACAAUGGGCGCAAGCCUGAUCCAGCAAUGCCGCGUGCAGGAUGAAGGCCUUCGGGUUGUAAACUGCUUUUGUACGGAGCGAAAUCUUCUGGGUUAAUACCUCGGGAGGAUGACGGUACCUGAAGAAUAAGCACCGGCUAACUACGUGCCAGCCGCCGCCGUAA
Molecule: ribosomal RNA, 500 nt
Filed under: uncultured bacterium
Lineage: Bacteria
Description: partial 16S ribosomal RNA
Rfam family: Bacterial small subunit ribosomal RNA
Source: RNAcentral